UAGGGAAUAUUGCGCAAUGGGCGAAAGCCUGACGCAGCGAUACCGCGUGAGUGAGGAAGGUCUUCGGAUUGUAAAGCUCUGUCGGGAUGGAAAAAUGACGUAUUGUCGAACAGGCGAUACGAGUGAUGGUACAUCCAAAGGAAGCACCGGCUAACUUCGUGCCAGCAGCCGCGGUAAUACGAAGGGUGCAAGCGUUGUUCGGAUUUAUUGGGCGUAAAGCGCGCGCAGGCGGGUAAUUAAGUCAGGUGUGAAAUCUCAGGGCUCAACCCUGAAACUGCGCCUGAAACUGGUUAUCUAGAAUGUCGGAGGGGGAAGGGGAAUUUCGCAUGUAGGGGUAAAAUCCGUAGAUAUGCGAAGGAAUACCAGAGGCGAAGGCGCCUUCCUGGACGACAAUUGACGCUGAGGCGCGAAAGCGUGGGGAGCAAACAGG
RNAcentral lists this ribosomal RNA (430 nucleotides) under uncultured bacterium. RNAcentral's name for it is "bacterial SSU rRNA". It matches the Rfam family "Bacterial small subunit ribosomal RNA", at positions 355 to 776 of the family's 1533-position model. The record is from RNAcentral.